Molecule: regulatory RNA element, 65 nt
Organism: Sphingopyxis macrogoltabida
Lineage: Bacteria; Pseudomonadati; Pseudomonadota; Alphaproteobacteria; Sphingomonadales; Sphingopyxidaceae
Rfam family: terC RNA
Source: Rfam
UGUGCGGGCCGGGCCCCUCUGGCGUCGGCAGGAUUUUUCCUGCCACGUGAUGUCGGACCGCAUCG